Non-coding RNA from Nicotiana tabacum (common tobacco), 1955 nucleotides. Lineage: Eukaryota; Viridiplantae; Streptophyta; Magnoliopsida; Solanales; Solanaceae. The record is from RefSeq and is a predicted model, not a curated record.
UUACUCCACUAAUCCCUUCUUCCAGUUGUAUAUAGUUCUCAUCUUUAUUGUUUUUCUCUAUUUCUAAAGCUUUUUUCUUUUCAAGAAUUCUGCAAUUCAUUAGGUUAUGCCCAAGCUUUUUACACUGCUUACUAUACUUAGGGAUGUUCUCGUAUUCGAUUUUCUGAGUAAACUCUUUUAACGGUGUGUUCUCAUUCUCCAAUCCCACAUAUACAGUGACUAUAAUAUGUUUGAGCAGAUCAAUUUUCACCCUAACUUUGGCCAUACUUGGCCUAGUUUUACCCCAUGUCGCAGCAUCUAGAGCUUGUGGAGUACCAACCUCACUACAAAUUUGUUUGGCAUAAUGCCAAGUGUGCAUAUUAAAUGUAAUGCCAUGGAGUAAAACCCAUACAUGAACAAUUGGAAUAUCUUCAUCUGGUAUGAAAUUCAGUGUCCACUUUUGUAGCCACUUCUGAAGUCCGUCGCUUUCUACAACUCUCUGAAUGUAGACCUAGUUUUUUCAAUUUGGGGCCUUGGUUUCAAAAAUCUUCCAACAAAAGUGAGUCUACAUUCUUCAGCCAUUACUCUGUAGCAAUCCUUGGCUUUGAAGAUCACUGCAGGCAUUCCAUUGUGAGUGAUAUGCCUAGCAAUGACUGGUUCUCUGGGAUGGCAGAUGGUAGUGAUAUGAGUAGGUGUAGCAGUGGUGAUUGUGGUAGCAUAUGUUGGAAUAUUUGCAAUUCCUUCAACAAUUGGGUUAGCCAUAGUAGGAGAUUCAGUUUGGUUGGUAGUACGCGCCAGUGCGACUCCGUCCGACAGCGCCAUAGGGCAGAGCGUGAAGGUGACGCUCUAAAAUUACCGUUUAAGAGUGCCAACAGUUUAUUGUACGGAGAAUUCCUGUUUUGUCAGGUGAUGUUGAAUUUGUUAGGCUGGAUAUUUUUGGUAUCAACCUUGAGAAUAUAAUUAGAAGAAUGGAUAGGGUUGCAGUGGGAGCCUAAAAAAGAUAAAAGUGAUCAAAGAGUAAAUAUUUUUUUUUGUUCUAAAAGUUUUAACAAUAAUUAUUAAGACAUAUUAUAAUUUUCUUUAACGCGCGGAAAAAUUCACUAGUUUCUAAAUAAAAAACGCUUCCGUCAAUUAGCUCAUAGUCAGAUGGUUAAAAAGUACACCCUCAAAUGACAACCCCAAAAGGGCACUCCAGUCAUUUCAAAGAAAUGUAAAUUGUCUUAUCCUCCGCAAAGCAUAUCAUUUUCAGCUUCACAUAGAAAAACUGUAGUGAGAGAAUGGGAGGGGGAAUGGAGUAUAACAAGAACAGGUGGAUAGAGGAAUGGGGAGCGGCGAGGGAGAACCUUGAGCACAACUUCCGCUGGACUCGCCGGAACCUCGCUAUUGUCGGUAUCUUCGGUAUUGCUGUCCCUGUCUUAAUUUACAAGGGAAUCGUCAAAGAGUUCUAAGGCGGACUGAAAAUUUUAUCAAGCGAGUCAGGAGAAUGAACAAUUAGAGUUCUAUUGAUUAGCAUGACUGGACUAAUUUGGCCUACAUUUACGUUUGGAAAUAUUGGACACCUCAUUGUCUUUAUCUUUCCUUUUUUUCCCCAUUAAAUUUCUUUUGUUGUAUGUCAUGAGAACUAAUUGAUUGGAAUUUUUAGAAAAAGAGAAAUAGUCGAUCCAAAGGUGCUUGUUAGAAGUUUUUUUCAAUUGAAAGGUUUGCAAUGAAUCAUAAGAUGAAUAUCAAAUAGUAAAAAGACCAAAAACCUUGGAAGGAAUAAAAUGCCCAAAACUUCAACAAUCAGAAACUUUCACAACAAUCGGAAUUUGACCUCCUGUGCCUGUGAAUUAAAGAAAGGAGGAGGUCAAUCAAAAAAAAAAAGAGAUGUUAAUUAAUCAAAGGUCCAACUGAUCACCACGCCUGUAUUGUAAAUAUGCAGUUAGGAAUAAUCCAGCCAAAGUAAUAGGAAUUAGACCUAACACGAUUCCAAAUAG